This 460-nucleotide ribosomal RNA is filed under the name uncultured bacterium. RNAcentral's name for it is "partial 16S ribosomal RNA". It matches the Rfam family "Bacterial small subunit ribosomal RNA", at positions 338 to 795 of the family's 1533-position model. The record is from RNAcentral.
CCUACGGGAGGCUGCAGUGAGGAAUAUUGGUCAAUGGGCGCGAGCCUGAACCAGCCAAGCAGCGUGAAGGAUGACUGCCCUACGGGUUGUAAACUUCUUUUAUAAAGGAAUAAAGUGAGGCACGUGUGCCUCUUUGUAUGUACUUUACGAAUAAGGAUCGGCUAACUCCGUGCCAGCAGCCGCGGUAAUACGGAGGAUCCGAGCGUUAUCCGGAUUUAUUGGGUUUAAAGGGAGCGUAGAUGGGUUGUUAAGUCGGUUGUGAAAGUUUGCGGCUCAACCGGAAAAUUGCAAUUGAUACUGGCAGUCUUGAGUACAGUUGAGGUAGGCGGAAUUCGUGGUGUAGCAGUGAAAUGCUUAGAUAUCGCGAGGAACUCCGAUUGCGAAGGCAGCUUACUAAACUGCCACUGACAUUGAUGCUCGAAGGUGUGGGGAUCAAACGGGAUUAGAUACCCGUGUAGUC